This 439-nucleotide ribosomal RNA is filed under the name uncultured bacterium. RNAcentral describes it as "partial 16S ribosomal RNA". It matches the Rfam family "Bacterial small subunit ribosomal RNA", at positions 339 to 795 of the family's 1533-position model. The record is from RNAcentral.
CUACGGGUCGCUCCAGUGGGGAAUAUUGCACAAUGGAGGAAACUCUGAUGCAGCAACGCCGCGUGGAGGAUGACACUUUUCGGAGCGUAAACUCCUUUUAUAUAGGAAGAUAAUGACGGUACUAUAUGAAUAAGCACCGGCUAACUCCGUGCCAGCAGCCGCGGUAAUACGGAGGGUGCAAGCGUUACUCGGAAUCACUGGGCGUAAAGAGCGUGUAGGCGGGUUAAUAAAUCAGAAGUGAAAUCCUAUGGCUCAACCAUAGAACUGCUUUUGAAACUGUUAACCUAGAAUAUGGGAGAGGUAGAUGGAAUUUCUGGUGUAGGGGUAAAAUCCGUAGAGAUCAGAAGGAAUACCGAUUGCGAAGGCGAUCUACUGGAACAUUAUUGACGCUGAGACGCGAAAGCGUGGGGAGCAAACAGGAUUAGAUACCCGCGUAGUC